CGAGAUCUGAUGGUUUAAAAGUGUUUGGCAGUUCACCUCAUUGCUCGCUGUCUUGCCUCCACGUGAAGAAGGUCCUUACUUCCCCUUUGCCUUCUGCCACAAUUGUAAGUUUCCUGAGGCCUCUCCAGCCAAGCAGAACUGUGACCCUCUGAAUUCUAGUUGUCUUGACCUUGUUGGACUCCCAGCUUCAUCCCCUCAACUCAGGAAUACUGUCCAGCUCUAUUUUGGUUUCUCCUUUCUUCACUGCAACCUGGAAGUUGUCUCUAGGUG
Molecule: long non-coding RNA, 270 nt
Filed under: Homo sapiens (human)
Lineage: Eukaryota; Metazoa; Chordata; Mammalia; Primates; Hominidae
Description: HSALNT0142385
Source: RNAcentral